GGAGAGGUGGCCGAGUGGCUGAAGGCAACGGUUUGCUAAACCGUCAUAGUUAGUAAUAGCUAUCGGGAGUUCGAAUCUCCCCCUCUCCG
Molecule: transfer RNA, 89 nt
Filed under: Bacteroidota bacterium
Lineage: Bacteria; Pseudomonadati; Bacteroidota
Description: tRNA-Ser
Rfam family: tRNA
About the family: Transfer RNA (tRNA) molecules are approximately 80 nucleotides in length. Their secondary structure includes four short double-helical elements and three loops (D, anti-codon, and T loops).
Source: RNAcentral